CCCCUCUCCGGGUCGCAUCUGGAGAGUUUCCAGUACUUAACCAGUCUCGGUUAGGGGAGGGAGAGUCAAGCAGGCCUACCCAUUCUAUUCCUAGCUUGGCCAGUGGCUAGCAAGUGGAAAGCCUCCUGCUACAAGU
Molecule: small nucleolar RNA, 136 nt
Organism: Ornithorhynchus anatinus (platypus)
Lineage: Eukaryota; Metazoa; Chordata; Mammalia; Monotremata; Ornithorhynchidae
Source: RefSeq, a predicted model, not a curated record